This 828-nucleotide ribosomal RNA is filed under the name uncultured bacterium. RNAcentral's name for it is "bacterial SSU rRNA". It matches the Rfam family "Bacterial small subunit ribosomal RNA", at positions 101 to 934 of the family's 1533-position model. The record is from RNAcentral.
AACGGGUGAGGAAUACAUGGAUAACGUACCCUUGACUCAGGGAUAGCGGCGGGGAAACCCUUUGCGAAAGUGCCGGUAAUACCUGAUGACCCCGCGGGAUCGCAUGAUCUUGCGGGCAAAGUUACGGCGGUCUUGGAGCGGUUCAUGUCCUAUCAGCUAGUUGGCGGGGUAACGGCCCACCAAGGCUGCGACGGGUAUCGGGCGUGAGAGCGUGACCCGACACAUCGGAACUGAGAUACGGUCCGGACACCUACGGGUGGCUGCAGCAACGAAUAUUCCGCAAUGGGCGAAAGCCUGACGGAGCGACGCCGCGUGCAGGAGGAAGUCCCUCGGGAUGUAAACUGCUGUCAGGGGUGAGAAAAAAUGAUCAGCCCCAGAGGAAGCAUCGGCUAACUCCGUGCCAGCAGCCGCGGUAAUACGGAGGAUGCGAGCGUUGUUCGGAAUCACUGGGCUUAAAGGGCGUGUAGGCGGGUUGCCAAGUGUCGGGUGAAAUCCCUCGGCUCAACCGAGGAACGGCCCGGCAGACUGGCGAUCUUGAGGCAGGCAGAGGUGACUGGAACGACGGGUGGAGCGGUGAAAUGCGUAGAUAUCCGUUGGAACGCCGGAGGCGAAAGCGGGUCGCUGGGCCUGUCCUGACGCUGAUACGCGAAAGCGUGGGUAGCAAACAGGAUUAGAUACCCUGGUAGUCCACGCCGUAAACGAUGCGCACUAGGUAUGAGAAGCUCUCACGCUGAUCGUGCCGAAGCAAAAGUGCUAAGUGCGCCGCCUGGGGAGUACGGCCGCAAGGCUAAAACUCAAAGGAAUUGACGGGGGCUCACACAAGCGGUG